This 78-nucleotide transfer RNA is filed under the name Candidatus Aquitaenariimonas noxiae. Its description in RNAcentral is "Candidatus Omnitrophica bacterium CG07_land_8_20_14_0_80_42_15 tRNA-Glu". It matches the Rfam family "tRNA". From Rfam's summary of the family: Transfer RNA (tRNA) molecules are approximately 80 nucleotides in length. Their secondary structure includes four short double-helical elements and three loops (D, anti-codon, and T loops). Further hydrogen bonds mediate the characteristic L-shaped molecular structure. tRNAs have two regions of fundamental functional importance: the anti-codon, which is responsible for specific mRNA codon recognition, and the 3' end, to which the tRNAs corresponding amino acid is attached (by aminoacyl-tRNA synthetases). tRNAs cope with the degeneracy of the genetic code in two manners: having more than one tRNA (with a specific anti-codon) for a particular amino acid; and 'wobble' base-pairing, i.e. permitting non-standard base-pairing at the 3rd anti-codon position. Lineage: Bacteria; Pseudomonadati; Candidatus Omnitrophota. The record is from RNAcentral.
GUCCCCAUCGUCUAGCCUGGUCUAGGACAUCAGAUUUUCGAUCUGACGACGCGGGUUCGAAUCCCGCUGGGGACGCCA